GGGUGGCGGAGGAGCCCCCCGCCAGGUACCCCCUGUACCAGUUGGGUGGCCCACAACUUCGGGUGUUCCGAACCAACUUCUUCAUUCAGCUGGUGCGGCCUGGUGUGGCCCAGCCUGAGGACACCGUGCAGUUCCGGAUCCCCAUGGAAAUGACAAGGGUGGACCUCAGGAAUUACCUCGAGAGCAUCUAUAACGUGCCCGUGGCUGCUGUGCGGACACGGGUGCAGCAUGGCUCUAACAGAAGAAGAGAUCACAGAAACGUCAGGAUCAAGAAGCCGGACUACAAGGUCGCCUACGUGCAGCUGGCCCACGGACAGACCUUCACGUUCCCAGAUCUGUUUCCCGAGAAAGACGAGAGCCCUGAAGGCAGCGCUGCCGAUGAUCUCUAUAGCAUGCUCGAGGAGGAGCGGCAGCAGAGGCAGAGCAGCGACCCGCGGCGGGGCGGCAUCCCCAGCUGGUUUGGGCUGUGACGGGGCGGCCAGCAGGGACGUGCCCUAGGUGGGCAGCUGUGGCAGAGCAGUCCCAACACCUAAAUAAAAGUCCUGCGGCAGGAGAAAGAGCCGGAA
RNAcentral lists this small RNA (566 nucleotides) under Pongo abelii (Sumatran orangutan). Its description in RNAcentral is "processed transcript". The record is from RNAcentral. Lineage: Eukaryota; Metazoa; Chordata; Mammalia; Primates; Hominidae.